AUUCAGUGUUUGGGUGAAGACGGAGGCGGGUUCUGGACAGACCUACGCUGUCGGGGAGUGUUUACUUCGCCUCCACUUCUGUUCCUCCCCGCCCUGGUGCUGCUCCAGGUCACAUACUCUUCCUGAGCCGGCUUCAGCCUCUCCGCGCAGAAGUCUCCCGGAGCCAUGGCCUAGUAUUCUUAUGUGAAGUCUACCAAGCUUGUGCUCAAGGGAACCGAGGUGAAGAGCUGGGUCCUGCAGCUCCGGCGGGAGCCUCCUCAGUUCUUUUCGGACGCACUCCACCCCCGCGAAUCCGGUGGAAGCCGUGAUGCGGAGAGCCGGCUUCGUGGCCUCCCAGGCUUCGCUCUGACCCUGUCUGGGCUGGAUGGAGGCCGGACCGCCCUUCCUGGCGCCUGUGCAGAGAGGGGCAGCCUCCUGCGCGGACGACCCUGGAAACAGGAUAGACGGGCGGGUGACCCGUGACCCCGUACCCACGAGUUUGGGUCCCUUGAGGCAUCUCUCCAGGCCUCUGCCUGGUGGGUCUGCGUUAGUCUGAUCUUGUAGUUCAUUAUAAUAACUUCCUUUAUUAGGAAUUAUUCUUUUCUCCAUUGUCUCUUCCUGGAAAAAUUAUUAAUUUUUUUCUAAGCUAAUAUGUAGAGUGAAACCAGGAUGAAUCACACAGUGGUUGAGGUGUAUAUGGACUUUGAUAGGGAUAUGGGCUGGAACCUGCACUCUGUCAUUUACUAAUUUUGUAAUUUGUGGCAAAUUGGUUAAUAUGUCUGAACUUCCAUUUACUCAUUAAGAGAUCAAGUAUCUUUGAACCUCCGUUUACACAUUUAUACUUUCAGACCAUUUUUUAUACCUUUAGAAGACUGUGAGGAUUAAAUGAGAGAACAUACAUGCAGUAAAUAAAUUGAGCCAAAUGUGAGGAGGAGGUUGUAGUGGUAAUUUAUUAGCUCUUUAGGAGAAAAAUACCUGUGCAUUCAUAUCCCCGCUUCUUUUUUAACUGGCAGAUUUGCCUGAGGUUGACUGUACAUGCAAAUAUUGAGCUUUCCUCCUGGCCUCCGUGAUAAACAGAAGUUUUGAUAUUGUUAGGCGAGAUGGAAAGAAAGUAUCAAGGAGUGAGCUGAAGCCACUGCCCUUGAGAACCCUCUCGAGGAGUCUGGCCUCAUGAAGAUGCCAGAAUAAAUGGCAGUAAGAAGAAAAAGAGCAAAGAUAAGAAGAGAAAAAGAGAAGAUGAAGAAACCCAGCUUGAUAUGUUGAGGAACGCAGCUGCUCACCAGCAACGGAACAAAGCUGGACGGAGAAUGACUUUGAAGAGCUGAGAGAAGGCUUCAGACGAUCAAAUUACUCUGAGCUACGGGAGGACAUUCAAACCAAAGGCAAAGAAGUUGAAAACUUUGAAAAAAAUAAAUGUACAUUAAUUAACGUGGAAUCUGGUGAACAGUAACAAACUUUGGUGAAAUUUCAGGAACCAUAGCCAUUGAAGUGGAUGAGGGAACCUAUAUACAUGCACUCAACAAUGGUCUUUUUACCCUGGGAGCUCCACACAAAGAAGAAUCGCCCUGAAACCUGGCUAUGGAAAAUAUCUUAGUAUAAAUUCAGAUGAACUUGUUGUUGGCGUUCAGAUGCAAUUGGACCAAGAGAACAAUGGGAACCAGUCUUUCAAAAUGUGGACAGCCCAAAGCACACUCCAACUGGAGGAAGGUUUGCCAUUAAAGAUAAGGUGGAGUUUUGAUUAUUAUCUUGGCUAGUAAAAGUCAUGGGGUCUGCCCACUAUCGUAUGGGAGGGGCGAGGAUUACACCUACUUAAUGCGCUUUGAAGAGGCAUUGGGAAACCAUAAUAAAGAUGUGGGAUUUUUUUUCUUUUC
Molecule: long non-coding RNA, 1850 nt
Organism: Homo sapiens (human)
Lineage: Eukaryota; Metazoa; Chordata; Mammalia; Primates; Hominidae
Source: Ensembl